This 104-nucleotide microRNA precursor is filed under the name Marmota monax (woodchuck). Lineage: Eukaryota; Metazoa; Chordata; Mammalia; Rodentia; Sciuridae. The record is from RNAcentral.
AAUGAAUUUAUUGGAUCAUAUGGUUAACUCUAUGUUUAACAUUUUGAGGAAGUGCUAAACUGUUUUCCAAACUGGCUGAACCAUUUUACAUUCCCACCAGCAGU